GGAAACUAUUCUCAGAAAUUAAAAUGAAGCAUCCAGGGACUUGCAAUACGAUGCUGAGCCUUCCAGCUAUUCUCUAUUCUUCCCUGUCUGAACAGCGUGUUUCUACAUCAAAUGCCUGCAAAGGAAAUGCAAUCAGAAAGAAAGUAAAAUAUUGCCCGCAGUCAUCUGAGGCAUCCUGCUGUGUUGUAUGGGUAAAGACCUGGCUGUAACCAAGGAAAAGGUCUGGAACCCUUCUGUAAAUGCUGGCCUUCAGCGGGGGGAUGCUUUUCCACAGGGAAAGGGGAAGGUGCAGGGUGCCCGGGGAGCUACUGGGGAAGUGAUGCUUUGAAGCUGUGGCUGCGGAGCCAGGUGCCGCUCAGGAAGGUGGCAGUCUCCCCGCGGCCUCUCGUGCCGCCCUCUGGCAAGCGGGGCUCUCUUUGUGCUGCUGCCGCUAAGCAGAAUGCUCUCGUGGACGUGGGCGGUGCUGGGUUUGCUCCUUUUCAUGUGGCUGACCAGAGCACAUGAAGGCAGACAAACGUACUUGUUUGUUCUCCUCGUGCAGCAACUUCAUCCAUACACAGUGGUGCUCAUGGAUGUAAAACGAACUCCCUCCUCACCAGAUUGUUGCUUGUCUAUCCAAUCCUCGUGGGUGGAGCUGCACUGCACUUGCCAUGGUUAGCAUGGUUCAGAUUCCAGUAUCAUGAAUUGGCAGGUGGAGGGGAACAGAAGAAACUGGCCUAUCAUAAUAUUCUUACUUUUCCUUCGUUGGAAAACUUGCUGGAUGAAAGAAUCUUAUUUAGGGACAAGGCUGACAAAGACUGACUUAAAAGUUGGGAGAUGAUGCAGCUCUAUAGUAUACUUCUCUUCUUGCAAUGCAAGGAAUGAUAUACAGGGAAUUUGAUAUGAAGGGAUUUUUCAUCUCAUAAAUAAUCUGUUCUUCAUAUUUUCAAAUGUGUGACGGAUACUUUCAGGGAAACUGAAUAAACAAACUAAGCAUGGAUGAUGCUGUGAGCUG
Molecule: long non-coding RNA, 994 nt
Filed under: Numida meleagris (helmeted guineafowl)
Lineage: Eukaryota; Metazoa; Chordata; Aves; Galliformes; Numididae
Description: lncRNA (ENSNMEG00000020686.1)
Source: RNAcentral